UCGUAACAAGGUUUCCGUAGGUGAACCUGCGGAAGGAUCAUUACCGAGUGCGGGCCCUCUGGGUCCAACCUCCCAUCCGUGUCUAUCUGUACCCUGUUGCUUCGGCGUGGCCACGGCCCGCCGGAGACUAACAUUUGAACGCUGUCUGAAGUUUGCAGUCUGAGUUUUUAGUUAAACAAUCGUUAAAACUUUCAACAACGGAUCUCUUGGUUCCGGCAUCGAUGAAGAACGCAGCGAAAUGCGAUAAUUAAUGUGAAUUGCAGAAUUCAGUGAAUCAUCGAGUCUUUGAACGCACAUUGCGCCCCCUGGUAUUCCGGGGGGCAUGCCUGUCCGAGCGUCAUUGCUGCCCUCAAGCACGGCUUGUGUGUUGGGCUUCCGUCCCUGGCAACGGGGACGGGCCCAAAAGGCAGUGGCGGCACCAUGUCUGGUCCUCGAGCGUAUGGGGCUUUGUCACCCGCUCCCGUAGGUCCAGCUGGCAGCUAGCCUCGCAACCAAUCUUUUUAACCAGGUUGACCUCGGAUCAGGUAGGGAUACCCGCUGAACUUAAGCAUAUC
This 554-nucleotide unclassified non-coding RNA is filed under the name Aspergillus montevidensis. Its description in RNAcentral is "sequence contains 18S rRNA gene, ITS1, 5.8S rRNA gene, ITS2, 28S rRNA gene". The stretch from base 187 to 340 matches the Rfam family "5.8S ribosomal RNA". The record is from RNAcentral. Lineage: Eukaryota; Fungi; Ascomycota; Eurotiomycetes; Eurotiales; Aspergillaceae.